GACGAACGCUGGCGGCGUGCUUAACACAUGCAAGUCGAACGGAAAGGCCCUGCUUUUGUGGGGUGCUCGAGUGGCGAACGGGUGGGUAACACGUGAGUAACCUGCCCUUGACUUUGGGAUAACUUCAGGAAACUGGGGCUAAUACCGGAUAGGAGCUCCUGCUGCAUGGUGGGGGUUGGAAAGUUUCGGCGGUUGGGGAUGGACUCGCGGCUUAUCAGCUUGUUGGUGGGGUAGUGGCUUACCAAGGCUUUGACGGGUAGCCGGCCUGAGAGGGUGACCGGCCACAUUAGGACUGAGAUACGGCCCAGACUCCUACGGGAGGCAGCAGUGGGGAAUAUUGCACAAUGGGCGGAAGCCUGAUGCAGCAACGCCGCGUGCGGGAUGACGGCCUUCGGGUUGUAAACCGCUUUCGCCUGUGACGAAGCGUGAGUGACGGUAAUGGGUAAAGAAGCACCGGCUAACUACGUG
RNAcentral lists this ribosomal RNA (468 nucleotides) under uncultured bacterium. Its description in RNAcentral is "partial 16S ribosomal RNA". It matches the Rfam family "Bacterial small subunit ribosomal RNA", at positions 28 to 507 of the family's 1533-position model. The record is from RNAcentral.